RNAcentral lists this ribosomal RNA (251 nucleotides) under uncultured bacterium. RNAcentral describes it as "partial 16S ribosomal RNA". It matches the Rfam family "Bacterial small subunit ribosomal RNA", at positions 524 to 776 of the family's 1533-position model. The record is from RNAcentral.
UACGAAGGGGGCUAGCGUUGCUCGGAAUCACUGGGCGUAAAGGGUGCGUAGGCGGGUCUUUAAGUCAGGGGUGAAAUCCUGGAGCUCAACUCCAGAACUGCCUUUGAUACUGGCGAUCUUGAGUCGGAGAGGUGAGUGGAACUGCGAGUGUAGAGGUGAAAUUCGUAGAUAUUCGCAAGAACACCAGUGGCGAAGGCGGCUCACUGGCCCGGUACUGACGCUGAGGUGCGAAAGCGUGGGGAGCAAACAGG